CACUCCCUAGGGGGGCAGCAGUGAGGAAUAUUGGUCAAUGGGCGCGAGCCUGAACCAGCCAAGUCGCGUGAGGGAGGACGGCCCUACGGGUUGUAAACCUCUUUUGCCGGGGAGCAACGGGCGUCACGUGUGGCGCCACUGAGAGUACCCGGAGAAAAAGCAUCGGCUAACUCCGUGCCAGCAGCCGCGGUAAUACGGAGGAUGCGAGCGUUAUCCGGAUUUAUUGGGUUUAAAGGGUGCGCAGGCGGAGGUGCAAGUCAGCGGUCAAAUUGCGGGGCUCAACCC
Molecule: ribosomal RNA, 285 nt
Filed under: uncultured bacterium
Lineage: Bacteria
Description: partial 16S ribosomal RNA
Rfam family: Bacterial small subunit ribosomal RNA
Source: RNAcentral